CGCGAUCGAUCAGAGUUUGAUCCUGGCUCAGGAUGAACGCUGACAGAAUGCUUAACACAUGCAAGUCGACUCGAGUCUUCGGACUUGGGUGGCGCACGGGUGAGUAACGCGUAAUCAACCUGCCCUUCAGAGGGGGACAACAGAUGGAAACGUCUGCUAAUACCGCAUACGUUCUUGUUAUCGCAUGAUGAUGAGAAGAAAGGUGGCCUCUUGAAAAAGCUACCACUGAAGGAGGGGAUUGCGUCUGAUUAGCUAGUUGGAGGGGUAACGGCCCACCAAGGCGAUGAUCAGUAGCCGGUCUGAGAGGAUGAACGGCCACAUUGGGACUGAGACACGGCCCAA
RNAcentral lists this ribosomal RNA (342 nucleotides) under uncultured bacterium. RNAcentral describes it as "bacterial SSU rRNA". It matches the Rfam family "Bacterial small subunit ribosomal RNA", at positions 1 to 334 of the family's 1533-position model. The record is from RNAcentral.